RNAcentral lists this ribosomal RNA (376 nucleotides) under uncultured bacterium. RNAcentral describes it as "bacterial SSU rRNA". It matches the Rfam family "Bacterial small subunit ribosomal RNA", at positions 524 to 898 of the family's 1533-position model. The record is from RNAcentral.
UACGUAGGGGGCAAGCGUUGUCCGGAUUUAUUGGGCGUAAAGCGCGUGUAGGCGGCUUGGCAAGUCCGCUGUGAAAACUCGAGGCUCAACCUCGAGCUGUCGGUGGAAACUGCCUGGCUAGAGUCCGGAAGAGGAGUGUGGAAUUCCUGGUGUAGCGGUGAAAUGCGCAGAUAUCAGGAAGAACACCUAUGGCGAAGGCAGCACUCUGGGACGGUACUGACGCUGAGACGCGAAAGCGUGGGGAGCGAACAGGAUUAGAUACCCUGGUAGUCCACGCCGUAAACGAUGGAUGCUAGGUGUGGGCGGUGUCGACUCCGUCCGUGCCGAAGCUAACGCAUUAAGCAUCCCGCCUGGGGAGUACGGCCGCAAGGCUAAA